Nylanderia fulva is the source of this 675-nucleotide non-coding RNA. The record is from RefSeq and is a predicted model, not a curated record. NCBI's taxonomy places the organism in Eukaryota, Metazoa, Arthropoda, Insecta, Hymenoptera, Formicidae.
UUAGGUGCGCAACUAAGUACCCGCUGUUUGUCUAUAGAUGGCUCCAGCAGUAAGUGCUGGUCGAUUUUGACAUAUCCAAAACGUCACGAGCCAAGCUUAGACAUAUGAAAACGGCGGCUGAAGCGCAUCGAGAGCUCCAAAAAGUUUACGGAGAUGCUGCUUUAAGUGAAACAACGUGCCGUGAUUGGUUCCGUCGCUUCAAAGACGGUGAUUUCGAUGUUGACGACCGUCCGCGUGAAGGAAGGCCAAAACCUUCGAAGACGCUGAAUUGGAGGCAUUGCUCGAUGAGGAUCCAUGCCAAACGCAAGAACAGCUUGCUUCAGCAUUAGGAGUUACCCGCCAAGCCAUUUCCAAGCGAGCAAUACGAGCAGAGGCACGAAAAAGUGAUUCUACUGCAUGACAACGCUCGGCCUUAUGUUGCCAAACCCGUUAAAACUUACGUGGAAACGCUCAAAUGAGAAGUCCUACCCCACCCGCCAUAUUCCCCAGAUAUUGCGCCGUCCGAUUAUUACUUGUUCCGUUCGAUGGCACAUGGUCUGGCUGAUCAGCAGUUCCGCUCAUAUGAAGACAUCAACAAAUGGCUUGAUUCGUGGAUAGCCUCAAAAGACGAAUACUUUUACCGUAACGGUAUUCGAGCUCUGCCAGAAAGAUGGGAAAAAGUUGUGGCUAACGAUG